This 199-nucleotide ribosomal RNA is filed under the name uncultured bacterium. RNAcentral's name for it is "partial 16S ribosomal RNA". It matches the Rfam family "Bacterial small subunit ribosomal RNA", at positions 1301 to 1500 of the family's 1533-position model. The record is from RNAcentral.
CAGGCUGCAACCCGCCUGCAUGAAGUUGGAAUCGCUAGUAAUCGCGGAUCAGCAUGCCGCGGUGAAUACGUUCCCGGGCCUUGUACACACCGCCCGUCACACCAUGAGAGUCGGGAACACCCGAAGUCCGUAGCCUAACCGCAAGGGGGCGCGGCCGAAGGUGGGUUCGAUAAUUGGGGUGAAGUCGUAACAAGGUAAC